UGGACUCUGAAUCCAGCGAUCCGA
RNAcentral lists this non-coding RNA (24 nucleotides) under Gallus gallus (chicken). Lineage: Eukaryota; Metazoa; Chordata; Aves; Galliformes; Phasianidae. The record is from RNAcentral. RNAcentral also lists the same sequence under 4 other names.